GCGGACGUAUUGGAGACUAAAAAAACGCAGAGGCCCUUGCCUCUUGCUAUCAGUCGCAGGUUCGACUCCUGCCGUCCGCCA
Molecule: transfer RNA, 81 nt
Filed under: Caudoviricetes sp.
Lineage: Duplodnaviria; Heunggongvirae; Uroviricota; Caudoviricetes
Description: tRNA-OTHER
Rfam family: tRNA
About the family: Transfer RNA (tRNA) molecules are approximately 80 nucleotides in length. Their secondary structure includes four short double-helical elements and three loops (D, anti-codon, and T loops). Further hydrogen bonds mediate the characteristic L-shaped molecular structure. tRNAs have two regions of fundamental functional importance: the anti-codon, which is responsible for specific mRNA codon recognition, and the 3' end, to which the tRNAs corresponding amino acid is attached (by aminoacyl-tRNA synthetases). tRNAs cope with the degeneracy of the genetic code in two manners: having more than one tRNA (with a specific anti-codon) for a particular amino acid; and 'wobble' base-pairing, i.e. permitting non-standard base-pairing at the 3rd anti-codon position.
Source: RNAcentral